GAUGAACGCUGACAGAAUGCUUAACACAUGCAAGUCAACUUGAAUUUGGGUUUUUUAACUUAGAUUUGGGUGGCGGACGGGUGAGUAACGCGUAAAGAACUUGCCUCACAGCUAGGGACAACAUUUGGAAACGAAUGCUAAUACCUGAUAUUAUGAUUAUAAGGCAUCUUAGAAUUAUGAAAGCUAUAUGCGCUGUGAGAGAGCUUUGCGUCCCAUUAGCUAGUUGGAGAGGUAACGGCUCACCAAGGCGAUGAUGGGUAGCCGGCCUGAGAGGGUGAACGGCCACAAGGGGACUGAGACACGGCCCUUACUCCUACGGGAGGCAGCAGUGGGGAAUAUUGGACAAUGGACCAAGAGUCUGAUCCAGCAAUUCUGUGUGCACGAUGACGUUUUUCGGAAUGUAAAGUGCUUUCAGUUGGGAUGAAAAAAAUGACGGUACCAACAGAAGAAGUGACGGCUAAAUACGUG
Molecule: ribosomal RNA, 468 nt
Filed under: uncultured bacterium
Lineage: Bacteria
Description: partial 16S ribosomal RNA
Rfam family: Bacterial small subunit ribosomal RNA
Source: RNAcentral